RNAcentral lists this ribosomal RNA (253 nucleotides) under uncultured bacterium. RNAcentral describes it as "partial 16S ribosomal RNA". It matches the Rfam family "Bacterial small subunit ribosomal RNA", at positions 524 to 776 of the family's 1533-position model. The record is from RNAcentral.
UACGUAGGGUGCAAGCGUUGUCCGGAAUUAUUGGGCGUAAAGAGCUUGUAGGCGGUUUGUCGCGUCUGCUGUGAAAUUUCGGGGCUCAACCCCGAACUUGCAGUGGGUACGGGCAGACUAGAGUGUGGUAGGGGAGACUGGAAUUCCUGGUGUAGCGGUGAAAUGCGCAGAUAUCGAGAGGAACACCUGCGGCGAAGGCGGGUUGCUGGGCUGACACUGACGCUGAUGCGCGAAAGCCAGGGGAGCGAACGGG